This 500-nucleotide ribosomal RNA is filed under the name uncultured bacterium. Its description in RNAcentral is "partial 16S ribosomal RNA". It matches the Rfam family "Bacterial small subunit ribosomal RNA", at positions 30 to 523 of the family's 1533-position model. The record is from RNAcentral.
AUUGAACGCUGGCGGCAGGCCUAACACAUGCAAGUCGAGCGGAUGACGGGAGCUUGCUCCUUGAUUCAGCGGCGGACGGGUGAGUAAUGCCUAGGAAUCUGCCUGGUAGUGGGGGACAACGUUUCGAAAGGAACGCUAAUACCGCAUACGUCCUACGGGAGAAAGCAGGGGACCUACGGGCCUUGCGCUAUCAGAUGAGCCUGAGUCGGAUUAGCUAGGAGGUGAGGUAAUGGCUCACCUAGGCGACGAUCCGUAACUGGUCUGAGAGGAUGAUCAGUCACACUGGAACUGAGACACGGUCCAGAAUCCUACGGGAGGCAGCAGUGGGGAAUAUUGGACAAUGGGCGAAAGCCUGAUCCAGCCAUGCCGCGUGUGUGAAGAAGGUCUUCGGAUUGUAAAGCACUUUAAGUUGGGAGGAAGGGUUGUACGUUAAUACCGUGCAAUUUUGACGUUACCGACAGAAUAAGCACCGGCUAACUCUGUGCCAGCAGCCGCGGUAA